CCUACGGGUGGCAGCAGUGGGGAAUAUUGCACAAUGGGGGGAACCCUGAUGCAGCGACGCCGCGUGGGUGAAGGAGUACUUCGGUACGUAAAGCCCUAUCAGCAGGAAAGAAAAUGACGGUACCUGACUAAGAAGCCCCGGCUAAAUACGUGCCAGCAGCCGCGGUAAUACGUAUGGUGCAAGCGUUAUCCGGAUUUACUGGGUGUAAAGGGAGCGCAGGCGGCACGGCAAGCCUGAUGUGAAAGCCCGCGGCCCAACCGCGGGACUGCAUUGGGAACUACCGGGCUGGAGGGCCGGAGAGGUAGGCGGAAUGCCUAGUGUAGCGGUGAAAUGCGUAGAUAUUAGGAGGAACACCAGUGGCGAAGGCGGCCUACUGGACGGUGACUGACGCUGAGGCUCGAAAGCGUGGGGAGCAAACAGGAUUAGAUACCCCAGUAGUC
This 440-nucleotide ribosomal RNA is filed under the name uncultured bacterium. Its description in RNAcentral is "partial 16S ribosomal RNA". It matches the Rfam family "Bacterial small subunit ribosomal RNA", at positions 338 to 795 of the family's 1533-position model. The record is from RNAcentral.